CCUGAGUAUCAUGGAUACUUUGAGUUCUAUUAUUUAAUGAAUCAUUGUCUACUUGAGUCAGAGUCUAGACUCUGGCUGCUCUUUGCCACCUGGUCCUCCAACCACCUUGUGAGGCUUCUGUGAUAGCUUUCCACUGCUCCAGUGCGUGCUUGUGGCGUGAUAGAAUUUUAGAUAUGGAUGGACCCAGGGAAUCUUCUGUUCUCCUCCAGUUUCCAAGAGGGAAUUCUGAGGCAUCAAGAAGGAGAUCUGUCUGUGACUCCAGCCUUCCACUCCUCCACAAGAAGGUCUAAG
Long non-coding RNA from Lontra canadensis (Northern American river otter), 291 nucleotides. RefSeq lists it as uncharacterized. Lineage: Eukaryota; Metazoa; Chordata; Mammalia; Carnivora; Mustelidae. The record is from RefSeq and is a predicted model, not a curated record. The transcript has 3 exons.